RNAcentral lists this ribosomal RNA (698 nucleotides) under uncultured Bacteroidota bacterium. Its description in RNAcentral is "bacterial SSU rRNA". It matches the Rfam family "Bacterial small subunit ribosomal RNA", at positions 8 to 705 of the family's 1533-position model. The record is from RNAcentral. Lineage: Bacteria; Pseudomonadati; Bacteroidota.
AGAGUUUGAUCCUGGCUCAGGAUGAACGCUAGCGGCAGGCUUAAUACAUGCAAGUCGAGGGGCAGCAGGGGUAGCAAUACUCGCUGGCGACCGGCAAACGGGUGAGGAACAUGUACGCAACCUUCCUUUAACUGGAGGAUAGCCCCUCGAAAGAGGGAUUAAUACUCCGUAACAUAUUGAUAAGGCAUCUUAUUAAUAUUAUAGCUCCGGCGGUUAAAGAUGGGCGUGCACCUGAUUAGAUAGUUGGCGGGUAAUGGCCCACCAAGUCUGCGAUCAGUAACUGGUGUGAGAGCACGACCAGUCACACGGGCACUGAGACACGGGUCCGACUCCUACGGGAGGCAGCAGUAAGGAAUAUUGGUCAAUGGACGCAAGUCUGAACCAGCCAUGCCGCGUGGAGGAUUAAGGCCCUCUGGGUUGUAAACUCCUUUUAUCUGGGAAGAAAUGCUUUGAUUCUUCAGAGCUUGACGGUACCAGAGGAAUAAGCACCGGCUAACUCCGUGCCAGCAGCCGCGGUAAUACGGAGGGUGCAAGCGUUAUCCGGAUUCACUGGGUUUAAAGGGUGCGUAGGCGGGCAGGUAAGUCAGUGGUGAAAUCUCCGAGCUUAACUCGGAAACUGCCGUUGAUACUACUUGUCUUGAAUAUUGGGAGGUAAGCGGAAUAUGUCAUGUACGGGAAAUGCUUAGAUAUGACAUAGA